CUGUAUUGACUUAACUACUGUAGUGCAAUGCCAUUGCUACCCCUUUCUUGAAAACAGUUUUGAUGAAUGCACAUGGAAAUAAGAAUCCAAGGAGGCAGCCAGUGUUAACAUUGACAUCUCCCAGCUUAAAAGAAAAAGGUGUGGGGCUGAAGUGAAAAAUUUCCAGCAAAGAUCUGAUGUGUAUAACACAUAGAGAGCCCUGAGGCAGGGGGAUUACAAGGGGGUUAAAAUCACUGUUUUUUCCACUGCUGUAGGAGAGUCCUGGAAUUUACCAGGGUACUCACGCAACAUGAGGACCUCUGUAGAGAAACACAUGCUUACCGUGGUAAUUUAGAGUGACUUGAGAAAAUUGGUCUGACAGUGAAAAGGGCUUUUAUUUUCUACAAAGUUGAGGGUGAACUGCUAUAGUAUUUAGCUCCUGCUUUUAUCAAAAUUAAAGUGGACUUCUAAAAGCCAAAACAAAGGAGUGGAGUCUGUUUUGUAACAUUUUUGUGUGUCACUUUUCCUGGUGUGGGUAAGGGAGAAGAAGCUGUUUUGUACUGGAAGUUUCUGCUCUGUAGUCAAAGAAGGGUGUUCACAAGAUACAGAUGUUUGCUGUGUCUGGGAUUUUUUUGCCCAUCUCUGCUGGGGAAAUUAAAAAAAAAAAAAAAGAGUUAAAAAAAUUAGUACUUUCUAAGUCUAAAUGAUUUACACUUCUGAUUUGCUUUUAGUCAACUCCUUGAUUGACAGAAUCUCUGACCAUCUAUAAUUUUAAUACUUGUGUUUUUAAUUGGACAAUACAUUCCUCAUAACUUUUCCUUGCUUCCUCUUAAUGACUGACCCUGUUCAUUGAGAAAAGAGUUAAUAGCCUUUAAUGGCUUAAAUUUUGUGAACAACCAUGUCCAUGAGAAGCCCCGUACACAAACAGUCCUGGUAAAUUCAGCAGGGUUCUUCAUGUACUAAAAUUGCUCAUACAAGUAAGUGUUUGAGAGCAAACAGUCAGUAUUCCUCUCCCACAUUCCUUCUAUUCCUCCAUGAAAGAAAGCCAGCAUAUGACUAUCAGAAGCCAUUUUUAAUCUACUGUGUUCCAAAUAAGGAUUUAAUCUAAACUAAACAACUGGUUUGAAUAUUUGCUGUAACUAUUAAUUAUUGAAAAAGUUUUGAAUUUUUCUAUGGAUUCCUAGCUUUUAGUCCUUCAUUUGAAUCAUCUGUAGUGUUCCUACUUAGGGCGUUCAUUAGGUAUUUAAUGUUUAAAGUAUCUAUUUAUUACAAUUUUAAAACCUCUAGUUAGCUGCAUUUUACUUAAAGUGAAUUUAUUACUCUAAAGAGGUUCUGGAAUGAGUGUUUUAUCAAGGAAGCAUAAAUAGUUCAAACUUUUGCCCUUCUAACAAAGCACUGCAUAUUUGCUUAAUUAUAAACGCAUAUUCAGAACACAUACAAUAGGCUGUAGUAUAUUUAUCAAAGACAAACUGCCUGUAUAAAGCUAUCAUUUUUGUCUGAAAUGAGGUUACUUCAAAAUUCACAAUUUGCACUGCAGGCACUGAUGUUAUCCAAUUACACUUUUUAUUAAUUUUAUUAUAAUUGGUGCAUUCUUGAUACAGCUGUUUCACAGAUACAUGUUUUAAUAAAUUGAUUAAACCACCUAUUUUUCUGAAGCAGUUAGUAAAACUGACCACAACAGACCUGUGAGUUUCUGGAAACAAGUCUGCAAAUUUUCCCAUAGUGUUUCUUGGGGGGUUGGGAUUUCGCUUUUUCCCUACCUGCUGCAUUGUCCUUGAUCCUAAUGGUAAAAUGAAAAUAACUGCAUUUAAUUUAGGCUGCUUGUGAGUCAACUGUGUAUCUGAUCUACAGGUGCUGAGACAGUUAACCGGUUCACCCUGUAAUUAGGUCUCUGCAGCACCUUCUCCAUACAUAAAUGGGCAGACGGAUCCCUGGUUGUUUUCUUGUGGUCACCAAUGCAACUGAGGGACCCAUCUGAGUGACAGCCAAGGUUAACUGUCUGGACAGCUGUGAGUCAAGCCUUCAAGACACGCUGCUUUAUCUGAUUGGUCUCAGUCUUGAUCUGGCACAUGAAAGGAAAUGUGAGGAAGUUUCAAGCAGAGAUCAUUUUGCAAGUCCAAAGAUGAGGGUCUUCGCUUCAUCUCUAGAGGAAAUCCAUGCAGGAAAAAUCCACCAAGGGAUAUUUAACAGAAAGAUAACAUCUGACUUGAAGUCCCUGAGCCAGAAAUUGCUGGAAGCUGGGAAAGGACACCUGGGAAAGUAUCACUUACUCUCCUGUUACAGUCCUCUACAUUUAUCUUCUAUCACACAGAGUAAUUUGGAUUAACCUAGCAGGGCUGUUCUUUCAUGCACUCAGAUUUAUAUAGAUUCAUUGAU
Long non-coding RNA from Neopsephotus bourkii (Bourke's parrot), 2355 nucleotides. RefSeq lists it as uncharacterized. The transcript has 3 exons. NCBI's taxonomy places the organism in Eukaryota, Metazoa, Chordata, Aves, Psittaciformes, Psittacidae. The record is from RefSeq and is a predicted model, not a curated record.